GCCUUCUUGGUGUAAUGGUCAGCACACUCGGCGCGUAUUCGAGAGGUCCGAGGUUCGAGUCCCGGCGAGGGCG
This 73-nucleotide transfer RNA is filed under the name Stegodyphus mimosarum. It matches the Rfam family "tRNA". Rfam says of the family: Transfer RNA (tRNA) molecules are approximately 80 nucleotides in length. Their secondary structure includes four short double-helical elements and three loops (D, anti-codon, and T loops). Lineage: Eukaryota; Metazoa; Arthropoda; Arachnida; Araneae; Eresidae. The record is from Rfam by way of RNAcentral.